Molecule: unclassified non-coding RNA, 1711 nt
Filed under: Caenorhabditis elegans
Lineage: Eukaryota; Metazoa; Nematoda; Chromadorea; Rhabditida; Rhabditidae
Description: Non-coding transcript of protein-coding gene fmo-4
Source: RNAcentral
AUGCGUGUCUGUGUGGUUGGCGCCGGGGCUUCUGGCCUGCCAGCCAUCAAGGCCUGUAUUGAAGAAGGGCUUGAUGUUGUGUGUUUUGAGAAAACUGCUGAUAUUGGAGGACUAUGGAAUUACAGACCUGGACAGAAAGACGUAGAUCGGAGGAACCGUAAUGGAGAGCACAGUAGUAAAUACCUCAAAGGAAAUGAUGGCCUACUCGGAUUUCCCUCCUCCAGCAGAAUUCGCUAAUUUCAUGCAUCACACGAAAGUCAUCGAAUACAUCAAAAGUUACGCAGAGCAUUUCGGACUCAUGGACAAAAUCCGGUUCAAUACCCCAGUGAAAAGAAUUUCAAGAAAUGAACAGAACAAGUAUAUUGUCAGCUUGCAAAAUGGAGAAAUUGAAGAGUUUGAAAAGUUGAUUUUGUGCACAGGUCAUCAUGCAGAACCAUCUUAUCCAGAAUUGAAAAAUUUGGAUAAUUUUAAAGGCAAAGUCGUACAUGCUUAUGACUACACAAACACUUCAGGAUAUGAAGGAAAAGACGUUUUUCUUCUCGGCAUCGGAAAUUCUGCUCUUGAUAUUGCAGUUGAUAUUGCCAAAAUUGCGAAAUCAGUCACAAUUUCUACCCGAAGAGGAACAUGGAUUUUCAACCGUGUCAGUCAAGGGGGCAUGCCAUAUGAUGUUCAGCUCUUCUCCAGAUAUUAUGACACACUUCUGAAAACAAUCCCUCAUGCAGUUGCCAAUGACUUCAUGGAGUAUCGUCUCCAACAAAGAAUGGAUCACGAUGUCUAUGGUCUGCGUCCAGAUCACAGAUUUUUCCAACAACAUCCUACUGUAAAUGAUGCACUCGCAAAUCUUUUGUGUGCUGGAUAUAUCACAAUCACAGAAGAUAUUGAUACAUUCACUGAGAACAGUGUUAUUGUGAAGGGAGGCAGAGAAUUCAAGUGUGACAUAUUUUUGACAUGCACUGGAUACACAUUUGGUUUUCCAUUUGUUGAUUCGGAUAUUGUAGAAAUCAAGAACCAACAAGUUCCUCUGUACAAAUAUGUAUUUCCACCAAACAGUGACAGUGUUGCAGUCAUCGGGCUCAUUCAACCAAUUGGAUCAAUUGCUCCAAUUUCUGAAAUCCAAAGUAGAUGGGCUGCCAGAGUAUUUGCAGGAAGAUGCCAACUUCCAUCAAGUCAAGAACAAAUCGAUGAUAUUCAGAAAAAGAAGGCAGCAAUGAAGAAACGAUAUUUUGAUAGUAUCAAGCACACGAUUCAAGUGGAUUAUAUGAGUUAUAUGGACGAAAUUGCGGAGAUUAUUGGAUGUUUACCGCCAAUGAAGCAUUAUCUGUUCUUUUAUCCUAGAUUCUGGAUGAAACUUUUCAUGGGGGCAAAUGUACCAUAUGCCUAUAGAUUGGUUGGACCACAUGCAUGGGAAGGUGCAGAGCAAGCUAUUUGGACAGUUUCUGAAAGAGUCAAGAAGCCACUGAAAAACAGACAAUGCAGGAUUAGGAAGCAUAAGAAGAGAGGGUCUACGGACGAAUACUUCCGAUAUGCGACUCAAAAAGUGAUUGCCACAAACAUUUCAAUUCUAUUCUGCUCCGGUCUUCUUCUAUACUGCUCCACAACAUCAACACUUCCUCCAGCUGUUUAUUUCUUCUCAUUCUUCCUUUUCUUUACUCUUUACGGUGCAACACUAAUGUGGUUUGACCUACAAUAUGACAUGACCACAAUCUUCUAG